RNAcentral lists this ribosomal RNA (621 nucleotides) under uncultured fungus. RNAcentral describes it as "eukaryotic LSU rRNA". It matches the Rfam family "Eukaryotic large subunit ribosomal RNA", at positions 24 to 664 of the family's 3401-position model. Lineage: Eukaryota; Fungi. The record is from RNAcentral.
CCCGCUGAACUUAAGCAUAUCAAUAAGCGGAGGAAAAGAAACCAACAGGGAUUGCCUCAGUAACGGCGAGUGAAGCGGCAACAGCUCAAAUUUGAAAUCUGGCUCACGCCCGAGUUGUAAUUUGUAGAGGAUGCUUCGGGUGAAGCCGCGGUCUAAGUUCCUUGGAACAGGACGUCACAGAGGGUGAGAAUCCCGUAUGUGAUCGGUUGCCUUUGCCAUGUGAAACUCCUUCGACGAGUCGAGUUGUUUGGGAAUGCAGCUCUAAAUGGGAGGUAAAUUUCUUCUAAAGCUAAAUACCGGCCAGAGACCGAUAGCGCACAAGUAGAGUGAUCGAAAGAUGAAAAGCACUUUGAAAAGAGAGUUAAAAAGUACGUGAAAUUGUUGAAAGGGAAGCGCUUGCGGCCAGACUUGCCCGCGGUUGCUCAGCCCGCCCUUUGGCGGGUGCACUCUUCCGCGGUCAGGCCAGCAUCGGUUUGGGCGGUCGGACAAAGGCGUUGGGAACGUGACCUCCCCUCGGGGAGGUGUUAUAGCCCGGCGCGUAAUGCGACCAGCCCGGACCGAGGUUCGCGCUCUGCUAGGAUGCUGGCGUAAUGGCCGUAAGCGGCCCGUCUUGAAACACGG